This 406-nucleotide ribosomal RNA is filed under the name uncultured bacterium. RNAcentral describes it as "partial 16S ribosomal RNA". It matches the Rfam family "Bacterial small subunit ribosomal RNA", at positions 29 to 526 of the family's 1533-position model. The record is from RNAcentral.
AUUGAACGCUGGCGGCAGGCCUAACACAUGCAAGUCGAACGAGUGGCGGACGGGUGAGUAAUGUCUGGGAAACUGCCUGAUGGAGGGGGAUAACUACUGGAAACGGUAGCUAAUACCGCAUACCAUCGGAUGUGCCCAGAUGGGAUUAGCUAGUAGGUGGGGUAACGGCUCACCUAGGCGACGAUCCCUAGCUGGUCUGAGAGGAUGAACAGCGAGCAGGGAACUGAGACACGGUCCAGACUCCUACGGGAGGCAGAGGUGGGGAAUAGUGGACAAAGGGCGCAAGCCUGAUGGAGCCAUGCCGCGUGUAUGAAGAAGGCCUUCGGGUUGGAAAGUACUUUCAGCGGGGAGGCGUUACCCGCAGAAGAAGCACCGGCUAACUCCGUGCCAGCAGCCGCGGUAAUUC